AACGAACGCUGGCGGCAGGCUUCAUACAUGCAAGUCGCGCGAUUAAGCCUCCUUCGGGAGGGCAUAAAGCGGCGAACGGGUGAGUAACAGGUGGAUAAUCUGCCUUUUGGCGGGGGAUAACGGCUGGAAACGGCCGCUAAUACCGCAUGUGGUUGCGGGGACUAUGGUUCCUGCAAAGAAAGGGGCUGCAAGGCCCCACCAAAAGAUGAGUCCGCCCCCCAUUAGCUAGUUGGCGGGAUAAUAGCCCACCAAGGCGAUGAUGGGUAGCCGAGCUGAGAGGUUGAUCGGCCACACUGGAACUGAGACACGGUCCAGACACCUACGGGAGGCAG
Molecule: ribosomal RNA, 332 nt
Filed under: uncultured Candidatus Sumerlaeota bacterium
Lineage: Bacteria; Candidatus Sumerlaeota
Description: bacterial SSU rRNA
Rfam family: Bacterial small subunit ribosomal RNA
Source: RNAcentral